This 392-nucleotide RNase P RNA is filed under the name Synergistaceae bacterium. Its description in RNAcentral is "RNase P RNA component class A". It matches the Rfam family "Bacterial RNase P class A". Rfam says of the family: Ribonuclease P (RNase P) is a ubiquitous endoribonuclease, found in archaea, bacteria and eukarya as well as chloroplasts and mitochondria. Its best characterised activity is the generation of mature 5'-ends of tRNAs by cleaving the 5'-leader elements of precursor-tRNAs. Cellular RNase Ps are ribonucleoproteins. The record is from RNAcentral. Lineage: Bacteria; Thermotogati; Synergistota; Synergistia; Synergistales; Synergistaceae.
UGAGCAGUUCUGGUAACCGCUGCGGUAUCGCGUCGUCGAUGUCGGGGAGGAAAGUCCGGGCUCCAUAGGGCAGGAUGCCGGGUAACGCCCGGUCGGCGCGAGCUGAAGGAAAGUGCCACAGAAAGCAAACAGCCCCGAGACGGACAACCAACAGGCAAAACACGCCAUGUUGGGCGUUUGUUCUCCGAGGGUAAUGGUGAAAAGGUAGGGUAAGAGCCUACCGGAUGCGGUGUGAAUCGCAUGCUUGGCAAACCCCAUCCGGAGCAAGAUCGAAUAGAGGGGAAAGAGGCGGCCCGCCGACCCCUGGGUCGAUCGCUUGAGGAACGUCGUAAGGCGUUUCGGAGAUAAAUGGUUACCUGAACACAGAACCCGGCUUACGAACUGCUCAUUAU